Molecule: unclassified non-coding RNA, 253 nt
Filed under: uncultured delta proteobacterium
Lineage: Bacteria; Deltaproteobacteria
Description: contains 16S-23S intergenic spacer region
Rfam family: Bacterial small subunit ribosomal RNA
Source: RNAcentral
UACGGAGGGCGCAAGCGUUGUUCGGAAUCACUGGGCGUAAAGCGCGUGUAGGCGGCUUGGCAAGUCGGAUGUGAAAUCCCGGGGCUCAACCCCGGAACUGCAUUCGAUACUGCCUCGCUAGAAUCUCGGAGAGGGUGGUGGAAUUCCCGGUGUAGAGGUGAAAUUCGUAGAUAUCGGGAGGAACAUCAGUGGCGAAGGCGGCCACCUGGACGAUGAUUGACGCUGAGACGCGAAAGCGUGGGGAGCAAACAGG